UAUUAAUAAGCCCUGACCCGCUAAUAAUAAGAUAUGUUGGUUUAGCUUGUCAGUGUGAAUUAAAUUGAUUUAUUUAGUUGUAUUUUUAACCGAUUUAAAAAUGAAACUAAGCGAGACUCCUCCCUCUCAGUCCCGGGAAUUGCUCCUGUAGAGGCGCAUUUUCUCUCAGACAAUGAAAGUCUCAGCACACAUACAUUCCUCACACAGAGCCAAAAAUCCAUAUUCAAAUCAAAAUAGCCGACUUCCUGUUGGUCGUAGCUAAUGACUGUAAAUUAGAAAGUUGUCCGUCUUAAUAAGAACAAUAUAUGUACCGAUUUGGUGUCUGUAGCUAAAACUAAGCCCCCCACUUUUGACAAAAGGUGGCGCUAUAGAGUGCCUCCUCCACGCCCUUUCAUGUGCUUUUUCCAUUGUCUAGCUAUCAUUAAUACUGAUAUGUGUUUUGAGUUUCAUAUAAUUCUGAGCAUUUUAUCUGCCUCAAAAUCACCAGAAUAGAAUAGUCAAGAUUGACACGUUGCCACGACAACACUAUAUUAGAUAUCAAUAUCCCCACAACAGAUUUACAUCGGCCGUGUAUUGUCAUUAUUCUGAUGAAGUUUGAAGCAAAUCGAGUGAAAAUAAGAUGCUGAAUUCAAAGCAUUUUGAAAAUGACACACUUCCUGCUGCCAGUUGGUGGCGCUAUAACUUUGACUCCUAAUAGUCACAUAUAUGCGAUCGGCAUAAUACAUCGAACAAUCCGAUGAAGUUUGAUCUAAAUCAGGCGAUGUAUGUGGAUGUUAUUAGACAUUUCCUGUUUCUCAUUUUUUGCCCUAAUUUCAACGCCUCGCCACGGACAAACCGUUUGAGAUAUCAAAAAUCCCCUGGCAAUUUUUCAUCCCCAAUGUCUUGACAUCAUGUUCACCGAGUUUCAUGGAGAAUGGGUGGAAAACCUCAGAGGAGUAUUUCAAAUUCCAGAGCAUGCUUUUUUUAAACAGCCCUGAAUAGCUCACUUCCUGUUGGGCGGAGCCUAUGACAUAGAGCGCGAAAGUUGUUCGGCUCAAUGAGAUCUAUAAGUGUACAGAGUUUCAUAUAAAUACAUGCAAGUAUGUGUGAGCUAUGGUUCAAGAUUUCUGACUGUGUUCCAGGGGGCGCUGUAGAGCCCCUGUGCCACGCCCGGGUCCCAGACUCUGCGGCGUCCUGAUGGCCGCAGGUUCCAAUGUGUGUGCCAAUUUUCA
This is a long non-coding RNA of Cyprinus carpio carpio, 1211 nucleotides long. The record is from Ensembl. NCBI's taxonomy places the organism in Eukaryota, Metazoa, Chordata, Actinopteri, Cypriniformes, Cyprinidae.